Molecule: ribosomal RNA, 250 nt
Filed under: uncultured bacterium
Lineage: Bacteria
Description: partial 16S ribosomal RNA
Rfam family: Bacterial small subunit ribosomal RNA
Source: RNAcentral
UACGUAGGGGGCAAGCGUUAUCCGGAUUUACUGGGUGUAAAGGGAGCGUAGACGGUAAAGCAAGUCUGAAGUGAAAGCCCGCGGCUCAACUGCGGGACUGCUUUGGAAACUGUUUAACUGGAGUGUCGGAGAGGUAAGUGGAAUUCCUAGUGUAGCGGUGAAAUGCGUAGAUAUUAGGAGGAACACCAGUGGCGAAGGCGACUUACUGGACGAUAACUGACGUUGAGGCUCGAAAGCGUGGGGAGCAAAC